AAACUUCUAAAUACAAUUAAUAAGGCAUGUUUGUAUGGGCUUUUCUACUCAUGUAAAGAAUUUGAGCUGUUGAACUGCUGAACUGUACAGAAUCUUCACAUUUAGAUCUUCUAAAUGGACAAGUUAGCAUUAUUUCUGUGAUGCAGCAGUACAAUGCAAGCGUUGUUCUUCUUUAUGUGGUGGGCUUUAUGGAGAGCUUUAGCACAUGAGACUUCAUCUACAUUUAUGAUGACAAAUGUUCACUAAUUUAAAUGACGUCAACAAAUAAUGCUUAUUAGCACCUUAACAAAAAUGUUGAUCAAAUGUUGAUUCAGUGAUGUUUUCGAAAUGCUUUAUUAUUGUCUUACAACAAAUUUAAUAAGCUUUCAUAUAAUUUAAAUUUAAAGACAAAAAAUACCGCUGUAGUGAAUUCACUUUUGUUGUUGUUGAUAUCUAUCAUUUGAUAUAAUUAGUCAUUUCUAGUCUAAACAAUGAUUAUCAAAGCAACUAUAAUAUUAGACUACAGAUAUCUCUGUAUAAUGUAUUCAUCUUUUAUAAUCUAUUCAUCUUGAUUUAACUGUAUAUGUAUCAGUUUCAGUAUUAUUGUUGAGAUUACAAUAGCCUGAUACAAUUGGAUCCCGUUUUAAAUUCAUAUCUACAACUGCCCUCAAUAUCCAGCAGAUGGCGCUCUCUUAUAAUUGAACAUCUCCUAUAAAGCCUGGAUGUCUGCACCUUCAUCAGUGAGAUGUUGGCUUAAUUAAAUCAACAAAAUAAAACUGUUAUUAUUAGUGAUUUUUAGUCCUACUGCUGCUCAACACCUAAUACCUUAAAUGAACAUAAAACUAUGUUAAUUGUAUUAUUGUUUGAACUCAAUAUUGGGUUUGGUGUGACAUAUCUCCCCAGGCGUCUGUCUGUCAAAAAGCCAACACAUAUUCCUCCAUGUGUUAUUUUUUUCAGCUUUACAUUUGCUGUUACACAAUCUAUCUGACUUACACAGGUAGUACAUAUUUAUUCACAUAGCUGACAGCAAAUAUACACAUCUACUGUAGUUUGUCAAGCUCAAUACAUUAGUCAGGCAAAAUGUUGAUAUAUGAUGAUAUUAACUUCUCCGAACUUGCAGAAUUGAGUAUUUCUCAGUAAAUAAAGCUAUUAUUGCUGUUUAGGAAUUUAAAGAUUAACAAAAUGCCACUGAAAUGAUAAUAGUUUGACAGUAGGGUCUACAGUAUUUAGCAGGGUUCACCACAUUCCAUGACAGAUUCCAUGCAUUACUGCCUGAAGGGGCGUUCACACAGACAGCCAUUUAAUUGUUAGAGGUCAUCAACUCACUGUACUGUUGCUAGUGUGCAUUCCUGCCUGACUGCUGUAUCCAGCAGUGAUAUGUGUGCAUUCUCAUUGGGAGUCACUUAAUGUCAUUACUGCACAUUCACAUAAACUCCAACUCUGUUCAACCUGCAUCACUAAAGGUUUUUAAGAAGCCCCUGUUCAUUCAACUUUUCAUUUAUCAAAGAAUCCUGGAAAAAAAAUGUAUAAUGGUUUCCCCUGUUUUCAACAUUAUUAAUGUUUCAGAUGUUUCAAAUCAGCAUUUUAGAAUGAUUUCUGAAGGAGCAUGUGACACUGAAGACUGGAGUAAUGAUGCUGAAAAUUCAGCUUUGCCAGCACAGGAAUAAAUGACAUUUUAAAAUAUAUUAAAAUAGAUAUUUCAGAAUAGAUAUUGAUAUUUCAGGAUAUUGCCGUUUUUACUAUAUUUUUGAUCAGAUAAAUGCAGCCUUGGUGAGCAGAAGAGGCUUCUUUAAAAACAUUAAAAAUCUUCCCAAUCCCAAACUUUUGAAUGAUAGUGCAUACUUGAAUAGGGAAAAACGCACAAAUGAUACUGUAACUAGACCAGCAUUAAUACAUAUGUUUUUAUAAAUAUCAUAACUCCAUUGAGAUUAUGUUUUCCAAUGCAAAAUCCUCAUCUAGUUGCUAUGUUUUAGCAAUCGUGGCCCUCUGGAUCUGUAUCACUUUCUGUCAUCUGUCCUCUCAUCUAGUCUGUGUAAAAAAGAAAGAAAGAAAGAAAUUGAAGGCAAAUCUCUCCUUAGUCUCACGGCUCCAGUGUUUCAGUUUCCAUGGAAACACAUUAACCCCUAACCUUGGCAUGUUAGGUGGCUAUGAAUGUGAGCACUAAGUGACUGCUCCUCCCACGCCAUGCCUGCUUUUUUUUUUUAUUCUCAAUGCCAUUCAAAUACACUUUUACCCUCUGUGUUUGCUUUCUUGUCUCCGUCAACAGAUUGUUGGGAACCAUAUGACUAAUCGACUGGCACUAAAUGUAAAAUCUUGUAUAUAAUCACACAAGUUCAGCUGACUUUCGACAUUCCAGAUAUUGCAGUUGCUUCUCAACAGGCUGUCCUUCAGUUUUUUGCUUCACAAAACAAUUGAUGGACUGGAGUCGUUUGGAUUAUUGUGAUGUUUUAUCAGCUGUUUGGACUCUCAUUCUGACGGCACCCAUUCACUGCAGAGGAUCCACUGAACAGACCUGCGACCCACCAGUUGGAGACCCCUGCUCUAUUGUCCUAAAACUUUGCGGCCUUCCUCUGAGUGCACACUUUUGUGGCGUAAUGGCGUUUUGACUGUCGGGUAGAAGUCUGCUGUGGAGCUUGCCUCAGUGCGGGUUCGACAGAAGUGUGCAUUACAGCUGCAAAGGGAGUGCUCACGAGCACCGCUUUGAAAGCUAAAAUGACAAACAACUGUCGUAAGUCAAAAUCAUUCAACAAACACGGUGAGUCAUGGCUUCUUCUUUUGUUAUUGUCACUUGCACUGCUUGCCAAAAAUUUAGUGUAACUUUCCAUCUGCUGGCCACAUGUUUAGUGCAACUUUUUCCAUCUUUAGAAUAUAUCUAAAUUACGAACUAUGCAUUCAAUGUCAGAUUUUUAUUCCUCGCCAGUGGGAGAUCACUAAAAAUAACAUUAAAGAGGUGUCUGCAUAACUGCGGAAACUUGGGGUUCUGAGGGUGCUGCAGCACCUCCUGCCAACAGCUGAUUCAGCACUUUUGAAACAGUUGCAACUUAAGUCUUAAAGAAGAUUAAGGAAAACAGUCCGACACCAUGACCUCAAGAAAGCAGCCCGGAAAAUGGAGCACAGCUGGAAGAAAACAAAACUAGAGGUUUCACACUGCAUAGAGGGAAAGUACCUUAAAAAUGGCUAUCUGCUUACUUAACAAACACAAUCUCAGGUAUAUAUUCAGUACAGUGGCUAAAUUAAAGAAAAAUAAAGCAUCAACAGGUGCUGACAUUUCAAAGCAUCACUGCAGUAAUGACUUUAUGAACUUCUUUACUUCCAAGAUUGAUACUAUUAGAGAUAAAAGUAUAACCAUGCAGUCAUCAUAUACAGUAUUGCAUCAGAUUGCGCACUAUAGAUCCCCUGAGGCACAAUUCUGCUCAUUCCCUGCUAUAGGAUACAAAGAAUUGUAUAAACUUGUUAAAUCAUCUUAACCAAAAACAUGUAUGUUAGACCCUAUACCGUUAAGCUACUAAAAGAUGUGCUUCCAGAAGUCAUAGAUCCUCUUCUGAAUAUUAUUAAUUUGUAAUUGUCAUUAGGUUAUGUCCUAAAAACCUUCAAACUUUAAACUUCAUCAAUUUGUAUAAGUAAAUGAUGAGGUAUCAGAUUGAUCACAAGUGCAUUAUGGAGUACCAAAAGGCUCAGUACUAGGACCGUUGCUUUUCAUGCUUUAUGUGUUAACCUUGGGAGAUAUCAUCGAGAAACAUGGUGUUAGCUUUCACUGUUAUGGUGAUGAUACUCAUCUCUAUAUUUCUUCAUGCCCUGACGAAGCAUACCAAUUUGCAAAACUAAUGGAAUGCAUAGUUGAUAUAAAAAACUGUAUGAAUAGUAAUUUCCUACUGCUAAAUUCUGAAAAAAGAAAAAAAAAGGUGUUAAUUAUCAAACCAAAAACAGUCUGCGUGUAAAAACCUAACACUUUCUAACACUUGAUGGCUGCUCUGUCAGUUCUUCGACAUGAGUUAGAAACCUACUGUAGGUGUGCUAUUUAAUAGCAAUCUUUCCUUUGAAAGCCAUGUUUCUAGCAUUUGUAAAACUGGAUUUUUCCAUCUUUAGAAUAUAUCUAAAUUAUGAACUAUGCUUUCAAUGUCAAAUGCAGAAACGUUAAUUCAUGCAUUCACAACCUCAAGGUUAGUUUAUUGUAAUGCUUUAUUGAGUGGUUGUUCUGCGUGCUUAAUAAACAAACUCCAGCUUGUCCAAAUGCAGCAGCUACAGUAGAGUUCUUACUAAAACCACAAAAUAUGACCAUAUUAGCCCGGUUCUGUCAACUCGGUACUGGCUCCACACACAACCCUUGGAAAGUGCCUAUCAACAUAAACUUGUUGAUUAUACUGUUGAAUAAAAGCAAUAGUGCUUUUGUUAGAAACUGCACUUUAGCUUGUUUACUAAUAGCUUGAAUAUCUUUAGCCUACAGUAUAUUAGCAGAUGUACCAGCGAUGGAAGUUUUGCAAAACCACUGUUCAUUUCAAAGAUAUGACAAGAGAAAGGGCUGCUUAGCAAAUGAGGUCUGAUGACAUUACCAUAGGUACACAUACUCAGCUUUCAGUUUCAGUAUUUUCUUUUGCAUUAAGUACAACUACCCAGCUAACAAUAUUUGGCUCUCAAAACAUUUGGGGAAGGUCAGUUGGUUACAAAUAAAGAACCUACAGAGAACUUUCCCAGUUUACAUUUGUUUCCCCCAAAAAUCCCAAACGGAAAACCAUAUGGGAACAUUACAGAAAUGUUCUGUGUUUGCUAAUAGCUAGCAACUAAUGAACUCACACACACACACACACACACACACACACACACACAGUACACCUUAUAACUGAAAGUAAUUAGCCUGUGACUCAGAAAUAGUGCUUAUUUGCAGAGAAGUGUUUCUGAGAACUGUGGUAUGAUGCAAAUGUUUUUCCAUUUUGGAAACAUGAAACCUUCCUCUCAUGAAUCUUUGGUCUAUUGCCUUUGAAAUGCUCUCUGCUCCUAACCCUACAGAAGUAUAAGGGGGUCAGAGGUCCCGUAUCUGAAUGUCUCUUGAAAGGAUGCCCUCUCAGUUUCAGAAGGACCCAGAGGGAUGCACAAUGCAGUGAAAAGGCCACGGGUCUCCUGACCCUCAGAUACAUUCCACCGCCCACUGCUUAAGAUAUAUGGUCAUGCAGUGAGGUAGAGUUACCACACAAGCUGAAUAAUGUAACAUUCUUCGACGUGUUCCUUUCCUGCAUGCUGUGAUCUUAUUAUCUAUGUUGCUGAAGAAGAACAAUGUAGUUACCACCUAAAAUGUUGUUUUUCAUGGUCAUGAUUUUGUCAGACACUUAUUUCAGCCCAAUUAGCUACUGCUAAACAUGAACAUACUGUAUGUGCGUAGUGGAAGUGACCUCGGUGGUGCUAUUUGUUAACUUUUAUGCCUGACAAAUAAAGGACCAAUUUUCAUCUCCUUUGCACACUUAGUUGACUCUAUGGGCCGGAUACAGCCAUUUCCUACAGCUGUGUCCGUCAUGCCCUGUCCCUCUCAAAGGCAUCAGAAAGCUAGGUGCUAAAAGCAAUAAAUUAGGGGGGCAAAAAAAGGGGGGCAAAAUAAGAAUCUACAUGAAAACACAUGCUAGACUAACAAUAUUCCCGUUUGUUGUUCCAUCUAGCUUAACAGUUAUCCAAGUAAACAAUGCAGAUGUGUGAGUUCCCAGCAUGCAUUGUAGCAUAAAUUGAUAAUCUGGUUGUUUGCUGAUGUUUUUGUCGUCAUUCCUAGUUAUUUGUUGCAUAGUGAUGUUAAGAGCUCAUUCCGUGUUUGUGCUUGUCACCAUGAUUGACGUUUGUGUUAAGCACUGAGCACUGUUUGUGCUUGUGUUGAACUAUUGCUUUUAAUAUCUUUGCAGUUAAACAGUGGAAAUUAUACAGUUGCUGUCAGUGGGAAAAUUCUAAAAGAAUUUGGACUUUUUGAUCUGAAACAUCUGCAAAUUAAUUUGCAACCUGUUGAGGAUCAUCUUACACAAUGUAGUUAAUGAGUUAAGCAUUAACUAUCUGCUAACUAACAACAGUAUUUUAACUUAUUUUCACCAAGGCUGCAUAUAUUUGAUCGGAAAUACAGUAAAAACACUAAUAUUUUGAAAAAUUAUUACCAUUAUUACCAUAACUAUUUUCUUUAUCUUAAUACAUUUUAAAAUGUAAUUUAUUUCUGUGAUGGCAAAGCUGAAUUUUCAGCAGUAAUUACUCCAGUCUUUAGUGUCACAUGAUUCUUUAGUAAUCAUUCUAAUAUGCAUAUUUGCUGUUCAAGAAACAUUCAUUAUUAUUUUCAAUAUUGAAACAGUUGUGCUGCUUAAUACUUGUAGUGUACUUUUACUAAGACCUCUGUUACCUGGGAAUUAAACCUAUAACCAACUGGCAUUGCUAGUGCCAUGCUCUGUUUAAACUACAGGAAUCCAAAAACGUUAUCAGAUUGCUUUGUUUUUUAAACGAACUAUUUCUCAACAACUUUUCUUAUUUUACUGUGCAAUCCCAUACCUAAUGACCCUGACUAAAUCAUUCCAGCUGUGAAAGCAUGUAAGUAAGCCCUGAUGAUGACACAGCAUCCAUGUAAGCAGUAUCUUUUACUUAAGAAACUUUAUACCGCUCCUGCAAUUAAGAGCUCUCACAAAGGACAUGUGCAACAUAAUCUUGUUGGUUUUUAUUGAGAACAGUGUAUCACUAAAUUACUGCUGUUGCUUUACCUCUAAAUCUCACUAGAUGUACCAUCUGCCUCAGGAUCAAAACCCUAAACAGUGGGCAAUGAAAAUCAGCUUAGUCAAAAAUCAGACCAGGCACCCUGCCAAGCCUGAUUCACCUCAAUUAAACUGCGGGGACAAGACUGCUAAUUCAGUGCAUAUAACAUUCUCCAUGGAGUUAUACACAAACUGCAGACUUGUUUACAGUCAGGCCAGCUGGACGCCACUGCUAAAUUGUGUUAGAGAUGCAGCCAUUUUUUAUUAAUAAACUAGAGUAGUACUUUAAAAACAGUUACGGAACAGCAUCUAGCAGCAAGGUGGCACAUUAAUCUUUCUUUGGCUUCUGCAGAAAGUGCUACACUACAUGGCCAAAAGUAUGUGGACCCCUCUUUCCGUUACAUGAUGUAUAAAACAAGAGUGUUGCAUAUUAAGCCUUGCCUAUAUUAAGUACAUUUAUACACUACUGUUCAAAAGUAUGGGGGCUGUAAGAUUUUAUUUUAUUUAUUAAAUUGAUAGUAAAGAUAUUUAUAAUGUCACAUGAUUUUUUUUUUUUUUUUUGUCAAAUAAACGCUGUUCCUUUGAACUUUCUAAAACAAUAUAUCAGUUUCUACAAACAUAUUAUGCGGCACAAUGGUUUUCAAAAUUGAUAAAAAUAAGAAAUUUUCCUUCCCAAAUCAGCAAUGAUUUGAGAAUUAUGUGACACUGAGACUGGAGUAUUACACUUUAAGAUAAAUUAAAAAAGAAAACAAUUCUUUUAAGUUGUAUUAAUAUUUCACAAUAUUACAUAGUAUUUUUUAUCAAAUAAAUGCAGCCUUGGAGAAAGACUUCUUUCAAAAACAUUAAAAAUAAAACUUUUGAAUGUUUGAAAUUUUUGAAAGUGCUUAUACUUAAAGUAUGACACAUUCAUUGCCUUAAAACCACCAUUAUUAAUGUAUAUAUUCAUAUGCUUAUACAUUACAUUUCAAUUUUACAAUACAUUUUAAAGUAGCAGAAAUAAUGAAAAUUUACUUAAAUUCUUAACUUUAUGUUUCGUUGAAGCUAACAUAAUAUGGUAUUUUUGUUUAGCAGGCAUUUUCAUUCUAAAUAGAAAUGGGACAGAAUCAGUUGAGGACCCUGGUUUGCUGAUACUGAUAUGGAAGAACUUGACCAGUCAACCUGAACCCCAUACCACACUUCUUGGAUGUAUUGAAAUGCAGACUGUCAGCCAGACCCUGUCGCCUGUCAUCAGAGCCUGACCUCAAUGAAACUCUUGUGUCUUGUCUCUUGUGAACCGUGAUCCAGCGUUUACUGGAAAGCCUUCACAGAAGAGUUAAUGCUCAUGGUCAACAAGCACAAAUAGUAUGAUGUUCUGGUGUCGAUGUACAUUUGGCUGUCUGUUUGUACAAACUAAUACGGUAGUUUAAUCAAACAAUUUUUUUUUUUUUUUGGGUACCCUUGAGUAUGAACAGGCGAGUUUUCUGGGCCAAGCACUUCAUCACCCUCCCCUUUGUCCCCCAAUUUUCUGUUUUUGGCAGAGCUUGAAGGCUUUUACAUAAUCAAGCCAGACACUGUGAGACUGAUUAAGAUUUUGAUUGCAGGAGAGGAGGACGAGGACAGAGAGCUCACGCAUGCAUAUUCAUCCAGACAUCCAUCUUUUGUUUGCAGACAUUAUAGGGCACAUCACAAAUAAUCAAAGUCUUUUGUAUUCUAACUUUUUACACUGUGUCCUUCCAAAUAAUUCCAAAUACUUUGAAUUUUUUGGUUUCUUGAAACAUGUGUUUCCAAUAAAGUAUCGACUCUAACCUGAAGCUAACUGUCUGCAGACACAUGGUCCUUUUCUUUCAAUGCUUCUUGGUAAAUAAGAGCCAACCAGCUUCAUUAUUGAAUUAAACCCUUUUUGGAAAAGUCAGUAUAGGCAACUGAAUGUUUUUAAUUAUGAAUAAGUUUGUGUGCUUGUGUUUUUUAACAUGUUCACUGGUAUGACUGAGGAUCAUGGGACUGUGGAUUCUAACCUGGUAAGAUCAGACCUG
Molecule: long non-coding RNA, 8692 nt
Organism: Cyprinus carpio carpio
Lineage: Eukaryota; Metazoa; Chordata; Actinopteri; Cypriniformes; Cyprinidae
Source: Ensembl